AUAUUCCUGCGCCACUUCACGGUGAUGUGAUGGUGGGACAGGGCUCUUAAGGUGUACCCACUGUUGGAAUAGUGGGAUCAAGCCCGAGGGUGGGUCGUAGGGAAAUCCGCGACCGUAAUCCCGGAGGUGAUGACGAGGCCAUUUGUGCUGAAGUCACUGUCGGAGCUCUCAAGAAAAUCUUCUAAGCGUUUGAGCCGUGGGGUGUCCGUACUAAAAACUGACACAGGUGGGCGAGGAGAGUAUCCUAAGGCGCUCGAGAGAACCUUCGUUAAGGAACUCGGCAAAUUUGCCCCGUAACUUCGGGAUAAGGGGUGCUCAAUCUGGUGAAGAGCUUCGCGCUCGGAGCUUGAAUGAGUCACAGUAAAUCGGCCCAUGGAACUGUUUAUCAAAAACACAGCUCUGUGCUAAGGCUUAAAGCCUAUGUAUACAGUGCGACGCUUGCCCGCUGUCGGUAGGUUAAGGGGAAGGGUCAAAGGACUUCGGUCCUUGAAGCUCAUAACCGAAGCCCCGAUGAAGGGCGGCCGUAACUAUGACGGUCCUAAGGUAGCGAAAUUCCUUGUCGGGUAAGUUCCGACCCGCAUGAAUAGCGUAAUAACAUGGGCUCUGUCUCAACGAAGGACUCGGCGAAACUUAACUCGAGGUGAAGAUGCCUCGUCCCCGCGGGUAGGCGGAAAGACCCUAUGAACCUUUACUGUAGCAUACUAUUGGGUUUAGAUAUAUUCUGUGUAGAAUAGGUGGGAGGCUUCGAAGCCCGGGCGCCAGCUCGGGCAGAGCCGUAAGUGAAAUACCACUCUCUGUAUAUUUGGACUCUAACCGGGUGCCAUGAAUCUGGGCCUGGAACAGUGGUAUGUGGGCAGUUUGACUGGGGCGGUCUCCUCCUAAAGAGUAACGGAGGAGCGCAAAGGUACCCUCAGCACGGUUGGCAAUCGUGCGAAGAGCGCAAAGGUAGAAGGGUGCUUGACUGCGAGUCAUACAAGACGAGCAGAUGCGAAAGCAGGCCUUAGUGAUCCGGUGGUUGCGUGUGGAAGCGCCAUCGCUCAACGGAUAAAAGGUACUCUAGGGAUAACAGGCUUAUCUCCCCCAAGAGUCCAUAUCGACGGGGAGGUUUGGCACCUCGAUGUCGGCCCGUCGCAUCCUGGGGCUGUAGCAGGUCCCAAGGGUUUGGCUGUUCGCCAAUUAAAGCGGCACGCGAGCUGGGUUCAGACCGACGUGAGUCAGGUCGGUCCCUACCUUCUGUGGGUGUAGGAGAUUUGUGGGAUUCUUUCCCUAGUACGAGAGGAUUGGGAAGGACAGACCUCUGGUGUUCCUGUUGUCACGCCAGUGGCAGCGCAGGGUAGCUACGUCUGGUUAAGAUAAGCGCUGAAGGCAUAUAAGCGCGAAGCUAUUCCCGAAACUAGAUCUCCCUGGACUUCGGUCCCUAAAGGGUCGUGGAAGACUACCACGUUGAUAGGCCGGGUGUGUAAGCGCAGCGAUGCGUUGAGCUGACCGGUACUAAUCGCCCUUGAGGCUUAGGCAC
RNAcentral lists this ribosomal RNA (1516 nucleotides) under metagenome. RNAcentral describes it as "bacterial LSU rRNA". It matches the Rfam family "Bacterial large subunit ribosomal RNA", at positions 1433 to 2925 of the family's 2925-position model. The record is from RNAcentral.